GAUGAACGCUUGCUACAGGCUUAACACAUGCAAGUCGAGGGGCAGCAUGAACUUAACUUGCUAAGUUUGAUGGCGACCGGCGCACGGGUGAGUAACACGUAUCCAACCUGCCGAUGACUCGGGGAUAGCCUUUCGAAAGAAAGAUUAAUACCCGAUGGCAUAGUUCUUCCGCAUGGGAGAACUAUUAAAGAAUUUCGGUCAUCGAUGGGGAUGCGUUCCAUUAGGUUGUUGGCGGGGUAACGGCCCACCAAGCCUUCGAUGGAUAGGGGUUCUGAGAGGAAGGUCCCCCACAUUGGAACUGAUACACGGUCCAAACUCCUACGGGAGGCAGCAGUGAGGAAUAUUGGUCAAUGGACGAGAGUCUGAACCAGCCAAGUAGCGUGAAGGAUGACUGCCCUAUGGGUUGUAAACUUCUUUUAUACGGGAAUAAAGUGAGGCACGUGUGCCUUUUUGUAUGUACCGUAUGAAUAAGGAUCGGCUAACUCCGUGCCAGCAGCCGCGGUAAUACGGAGGAUCCGAGCGUUAUCCGGAUUUAUUGGGUUUAAAGGGAGCGUAGGCGGACGCUUAAGUCAGUUGUGAAAGUUUGCGGCUCAGCCGUAAAAUUGCAGUUGAUACUGGGUGUCUUGAGUACAGUAGAGGCAGGCGGAAUUCGUGGUGUACCGGUGAAAUGCUUAGAUAUCACGAAGAACUCCGAUUGCGAAGGCAACCUGCUGGACUGUAACUGACGCUGAUGCUCGAAAGUGUGGGUAUCAAACAGGAUUAGAUACCCUGGUAGUCCACACAGUAAACGAUGAAUACUCGCUGUUUGCGAUAUACAGUAAGCGGCCAAGCGAAAGCGUUAAGUAUUCCAUCUGGGGAGUACGCCGGCAACGGUGAAACUCAAAGGAAUUGACGGGGGCCCCGCACAAGCGGAGGAACAUGUGGUUUAAUUAGAUGAUACGCGAGGAACCUUAUCCGGGCGUGAAUUGCAUAUUAAUGAUGUGGAGACAUGUCAGCGGCAAGGCAGUUGUGAAGGUGGUGCAUGGUUGUCGUCAGGUCGUGCCGUGAGGUGUCGGGUUAAGUGCCAUAACGAGCGCAACCCUUAUCCGAUAGUUACCAUCAGGUUAUGGUGGGGACUCUGUCGAGACUGCCGUCGUAAGAUGUGAGGAAGGUGGGGAUGAUGUCAAAUCAGCACGGCCCUUACGUCCGGGGCUACACACGUGUUACAAUGGGGGUACAGAAGGCAGGUACACGGGGACGUGAUGCUAAUCCCGAAAGCCUUUGUCAGUUCGGAUUGGAGUCUGCAACCCGACUCCAGGAAGCUGGAUUCGCUAGUAAUCGCGCAUCAGGCAGGGCGCGGUGAAUACGUUCCCGGGCCUUGUACACCCCGCCCGUCAAGCCAUGAAAGCCGGGGGUACCUGAAGUGCGUAACAGCAAGGAGCGCCCUAGGGUAAAACUGGUGAUUGGGGCUAAGU
RNAcentral lists this ribosomal RNA (1454 nucleotides) under uncultured organism. Its description in RNAcentral is "SSU rRNA". It matches the Rfam family "Bacterial small subunit ribosomal RNA". The record is from RNAcentral.